RNAcentral lists this transfer RNA (80 nucleotides) under Vibrio parahaemolyticus V14/01. RNAcentral's name for it is "partial tRNA-Leu". It matches the Rfam family "tRNA". From Rfam's summary of the family: Transfer RNA (tRNA) molecules are approximately 80 nucleotides in length. Their secondary structure includes four short double-helical elements and three loops (D, anti-codon, and T loops). Further hydrogen bonds mediate the characteristic L-shaped molecular structure. tRNAs have two regions of fundamental functional importance: the anti-codon, which is responsible for specific mRNA codon recognition, and the 3' end, to which the tRNAs corresponding amino acid is attached (by aminoacyl-tRNA synthetases). tRNAs cope with the degeneracy of the genetic code in two manners: having more than one tRNA (with a specific anti-codon) for a particular amino acid; and 'wobble' base-pairing, i.e. permitting non-standard base-pairing at the 3rd anti-codon position. The record is from RNAcentral. Lineage: Bacteria; Pseudomonadati; Pseudomonadota; Gammaproteobacteria; Vibrionales; Vibrionaceae.
GCGGAAGUGGCGGAAUUGGUAGACGCACCAGAUUUAGGUUCUGGCGCCGCAAGGUGUGAGAGUUCAAGUCUCUCCUUCCG